GUGAGGAAUUUUCCGCAAUGGGCGAAAGCCUGACGGAGCAAUGCCGCGUGAAGGAUGAAGGCCUAUGGGUUGUAAACUUCUUUUCUCAGAAAAGAAUUAUGACGGUAUCUGAGGAAUAAGCAUCGGCUAACUCUGUGCCAGCAGCCGCGGUAAGACAGAGGAUGCAAGCGUUAUCCGGAAUGAUUGGGCGUAAAGCGUCUGUAGGUUGUUUAAAAAGUAUUCUGUCAAAGAUUAGGGCUUAACCCUAGAUAGGCAGAAUAAACUUUUAAGCUAGAGUGGGGUAGAGGCAGAGGGAAUUCCCGGUGGAGCGGUGAAAUGCGUAGAUAUCGGGAGGAACACCAAAGGCGAAGGCACUCUGCUGGGCCAAUACUAACACUGAGAGACGAAAGCGAGGGGAGCAAAUGGGAUUAGAUACCCUAGUAGUCC
This 426-nucleotide ribosomal RNA is filed under the name uncultured bacterium. RNAcentral's name for it is "partial 16S ribosomal RNA". It matches the Rfam family "Bacterial small subunit ribosomal RNA", at positions 354 to 796 of the family's 1533-position model. The record is from RNAcentral.